Molecule: long non-coding RNA, 268 nt
Filed under: Gallus gallus (chicken)
Lineage: Eukaryota; Metazoa; Chordata; Aves; Galliformes; Phasianidae
Source: RNAcentral
AGCAGUCAUUGCAAAGCUACAUUUUUGAUCUGGUAGGACUUUCAGAAUAGGCCCUUUCCCAUACUGGAAGUGCCAUUUAAACUUGUAUCUUGGAACUCCAUUGCUUUAAUUCAAGGGUUGGGAGGUAAAGAAAACCUGAGGAAGGGAAUAUGAAUAUCCAUUCCACUUGAUUGAUCCUCCCUGUCCUGGAAGAAAGAUCCUACUUGGAGGAUGAAAAUAAACAUUCUGAGCACACUACCUUAACCUUUUUUUUUUUUUUUUUUUUUUU